Molecule: ribosomal RNA, 371 nt
Filed under: uncultured eukaryote
Lineage: Eukaryota
Description: partial 18S ribosomal RNA
Rfam family: Eukaryotic small subunit ribosomal RNA
Source: RNAcentral
CAAUAGCGUAUAUUAAAGUUGUUGCGGUUAAAAAGCUCGUAGUUGGAUUUCUGCCAAAAGAAACCGACCCCAUAAGGGUGUCAGGGGACUUGCGGCUUUUCUUGGCGUGCGUGUGGCACUUGAUUGUGCUGCACUUGCACCAAGACUUUUACUUUGAGGAAAUUAGAGUGUUUCAAGCAGGCGUCUGCCUUGAAUACAUUAGCAUGGAAUAAUAGGAUAGGACUUUGGUUCUAUUUUGUUGGUUUCUGGAAUUGAAGUAAUGAUCAAUAGGGAUAGUCGGGGGCAUUCGUACUUAACUGUCAGAGGUGGAAUUCUUGGAUUUGUUAAAGACGAACUACUGCGAAAGCAUUUGCCAAGGAUGUUUUCAUUGA